UGUCUGUAAAUGUUGUAGUCAUUGCUUUUAGAAAUCUAGAAGGUGGUUUGAAAGGCAGAAAGGUGGGUAAAGACACUGAAGUGGGGUAAGAAGCUGUUUCUGGCCAAACUCCUUAAUGUUGAAACCCUACUUAACAAUUCAAAUAGUGUCAUGGGUAAGGAAAAUAUGAAUAAAGACAUUUGUAAGCAUAAUUUGAUACAAAAGGUAAAAAUCUAAGUUUAGAAUGUUUUGGGGAAGUAACAAAAAUGUUGAUACAAACAGUUCUGAUUUUGACUUUAGGAAAAUUACAAGAGAGAAAUGUAGAAUUGCAUGUGAAAUUUAUUUUGAAACUGGAGUAGGUACUGAGCUUCUAAUACAAAAUUUACCCAAGAAGCCUGUGAGGGUUGGCAGCUCCUGGGAGGCAGAUGCAAGCAGACUUCUGAGAGUUCCAGGACAGCCAGGGCUACCCAGUGAGACCCUGUC
RNAcentral lists this long non-coding RNA (462 nucleotides) under Mus musculus (house mouse). Its description in RNAcentral is "long non-coding RNA chr4:80914348-80914810". Lineage: Eukaryota; Metazoa; Chordata; Mammalia; Rodentia; Muridae. The record is from RNAcentral.